CAGUCGCCACGGGAAUACGUAGGGGGCAAGCGUUAUCCGGAAUUACUGGGUGUAAAGGGAGCGUAGACGGUUAAACAAGUCUGAAGUGAAAUGCCGGGGCUCAACCCCGGAGCUGCUUUGGAAACUGUUUAACUUGAGUGCAAGAGGGGAGAGUGGAAUUCCAUGUGCAGCGGUGAAAUGCGUAGAUAUAUGGAGGAACACCGGUGGCGAAAGCGGCUCUCUGGCUUGUAACUGACGCUGAGGCUCGAAAGCGUGGGGAGCAAACAGGAUUAGAUACCCCUGUAGUCCCUGUCUCUUAUAA
This 301-nucleotide ribosomal RNA is filed under the name uncultured bacterium. Its description in RNAcentral is "partial 16S ribosomal RNA". It matches the Rfam family "Bacterial small subunit ribosomal RNA", at positions 509 to 809 of the family's 1533-position model. The record is from RNAcentral.